Molecule: ribosomal RNA, 411 nt
Filed under: Equus caballus (horse)
Lineage: Eukaryota; Metazoa; Chordata; Mammalia; Perissodactyla; Equidae
Description: partial small subunit ribosomal RNA
Rfam family: Bacterial small subunit ribosomal RNA
Source: RNAcentral
CACUAUGCUUAGCCCUAAACUAAAAUAGCUUACCACAACAAAGCUAUUCGCCAGAGUACUACUAGCAACAGCCUAAAACUCAAAGGACUUGGCGGUGCUUUACAUCCCUCUAGAGGAGCCUGUUCCAUAAUCGAUAAACCCCGAUAAACCCCACCAUCCCUUGCUAAUUCAGCCUAUAUACCGCCAUCUUCAGCAAACCCUAAACAAGGUACCGAAGUAAGCACAAAUAUCCAACAUAAAAACGUUAGGUCAAGGUGUAGCCCAUGGGAUGGAGAGAAAUGGGCUACAUUUUCUACCCUAAGAACAAGAACUUUAACCCGGACGAAAGUCUCCAUGAAACUGGAGACCAAAGGAGGAUUUAGCAGUAAAUUAAGAAUAGAGAGCUUAAUUGAAUCAGGCCAUGAAGCGCGC